RNAcentral lists this ribosomal RNA (244 nucleotides) under uncultured bacterium. RNAcentral's name for it is "partial 16S ribosomal RNA". It matches the Rfam family "Bacterial small subunit ribosomal RNA", at positions 524 to 765 of the family's 1533-position model. The record is from RNAcentral.
UACGAAGGGGGGCUAGCGUUGCUCGGAAUCACUGGGCGUAAAGGGUGCGUAGGCGGGUCUUUAAGUCAGGGGGUGAAAUCCUGGAGCUCAACUCCAGAACUGCCUUUGAUACUGGGAGCUUGAGUCCGGAAGAGGUGAGUGGAACUCCGAGUGUAGAGGUGAAAAUUCGUAGAUAUUCGGAAGAACACCAGUGGCGAAGGCGGCUCACUGGUCCGGUACUGACGCUGAGGUGCGAAAGCGUGGG